AUUGAACGCUGGCGGCAGGCCUAACACAUGCAAGUCGAGCGGAGCGUCAGACGGGUGAGUAAUGCCUAGGCAUCAGCCAGGUGGUGGGGGAUAACUGCCGGAAACGGGAGCUAAUACCGCAUACUAGCAGACGACUUUAGGCCGGAUUAGCUAGUUGGUUGGGUAAUGUCCUACAAAGGCUACGAUCCGUAGCUGGUCUGAGAGGAUGAUCAGUCACACUGGAACUGAGACACGGUCCAGACUCCUACGGGAGGCAGCAGUGGGGAAUAUUGGACAAUGGGCGAAAGCCUGAUCCAGCCAUGCCGCGUGUGUGAAGAAGGUCUUCGGAUUGUAAAGCACUUUAAGUGGGGAGGCGUUACCAACAGAAUAAGCACCGGCUAACUUCGUGCCAGCAGCCGCGGUAAUUC
Molecule: ribosomal RNA, 407 nt
Filed under: uncultured bacterium
Lineage: Bacteria
Description: partial 16S ribosomal RNA
Rfam family: Bacterial small subunit ribosomal RNA
Source: RNAcentral